RNAcentral lists this ribosomal RNA (792 nucleotides) under Triticum aestivum (bread wheat). RNAcentral's name for it is "partial small subunit ribosomal RNA". Lineage: Eukaryota; Viridiplantae; Streptophyta; Magnoliopsida; Poales; Poaceae. The record is from RNAcentral.
AUGACCCGCCGCCGCACGCAUCCACCCCCUACCCCGCUGCCGCGCGCCACCACCCCCUGUCCCGCCGCCGCGUGCGCGCAGGAUUCGACUAGCCGGAGCAGCUGCGAGCCGGAUCCAGCCUCGUCCCCCGAGCUCCAUCUUCUUCCCCGCCUCCCUUCCGCGAACCGGACGCCUCCUUCUGGGUUCUCCGGCACCGCUGUGUCUAGCGGUCCAACCUCGUCGCCCGAGGCCGUUCACCGUUGCAGCGCCUCCUUCCGUCCGUGCAACGGGCUCCCGUGCACGGCCCUUGCUGAAGCUGGAAUUUUGGAAGAGUACUUUCAACCUGGAAGAGCACUUUCAACCGUCCAGGAAGACAACAACGACAGCCAGUAUGAUGGAUGUGAGAGUUAUUUUGACAUUUCAUUGUACAGUGCUUCUCUUUGUGUAGUGUUGUGUGUUUUCAAGUGCUUGAUGAAAAUUGAUGUUCCAGGUAGUUCAUGUAUUACUGAGGAGUUCAUGUACUGCCUAGUAAGUAAACCUGUUCAACUAUGUAAGCCACACAAGUUCAAAAGGAUUCACAUCAGUACAAACUCGAGAGGGCAUGUAUUACCGUCCAGAGUACAAACUUCAGUUUACCAAGAAGUUCAUGUAUUACAAUUUAGAGUUCUUGUAUUACUAUCCAUAAAGUAUAACUAUUGGUAUAGAAACUGUUCAAUAUUUGUUCGAAAGCUACCUGCAAAAGAGAAGCCCUUCUUACAUCCAUUUAGAGCUCACACCACAUGCACCGUCCUCAGUCCAACCCCAUGGCGUUAG